Molecule: ribosomal RNA, 471 nt
Filed under: uncultured bacterium
Lineage: Bacteria
Description: bacterial SSU rRNA
Rfam family: Archaeal small subunit ribosomal RNA
Source: RNAcentral
GGCUGAAACUUAAAAGGAAUUGGCGGGGGAGCACCACAACGGGUGGAGCGUGCGGUUUAAUUGGACUCAACGCCGGGCAGCUCACCGGAUAGGACAGCGGAAUGAUAGCCGGGCUGAAGACCUUGCUUGACCCAGCUGAGAGGAGGUGCAUGGCCGUCGUCAGUUCGUACUGUGAAGCAUCCUGUUUAGUCAGGCAACGAGCGAGACCCACGCCAACAGUUGCUAGCAUGUUCUCCGGAAUGAUGAGGACACUGUUGGGACCGCCUCUGCUAAAGAGGAGGAAGGAAUGGGCAACGGUAGGUCAGCAUGCCCCGAAUUAUCCGGGCUACACGCGGGCUACAAUGGUCAGGACAAUGGGAAACGGCACUGAAAAGUGUAGUCAAUCUCCUAAACCUGUCCCAAGUUCGGAUUGUGGGCUGCAACUCGCCCACAUGAAGCUGGAAUCCGUAGUAAUCGCGUUUCAAAAUAGCG